GGUCACGUGAUUAGCAGUAUGUUUCAACAGCGUACUCGGUGAUGAGGUGUUUGGUGUGGAAUUCUGUAGCAAAGUUUUCAUUGAUACGAUGGUGGACACCGACCGAGAUAAUAACAAUGCCGUUGCAGACAUCCCAAGAAUCCACAGCAGCGGCGGUCAAAUCGCUUCAAGGCGCCAGUUGUUGUCUGGCGAACACUCCCAAACGAUACGUGACGUUCGACAAAACGAUCACGAUCAAGAAUGACAAGGAUCUGGUGGUUAAAAAGCCACUUAAGUUGGAACUCGUCAUCGACAACUGGAAGUCAAACGGCUCGAAAACGUCGACCGAAACGAUUCGGCCCGAUUCUGGGAUUGUUAGACGUUUAGUCGACGAGUUCAACACUUUUGAAAAACCAAUAACCGAUAGUUCCGAAAUCGAAUCUACAUUGAUUGAGGAGGAUAAAGUUAAGGAAGACGUGCCAGUGAAAAUCCCUACAAAUAUCUCGAUCUGCGAAGCUUUGGAUUUGGUCAGCUUUAUCACUGACGACUAAUAACCGGAAAAUGCUGUUUUGUAUCGAAUGUAUAUUUCUGGCAUCGUUAGUCUCGACAAACUAAACGCCUACAAAAAAAGCCAUAGCAGCAAAGUUAGUUGACGGCAAAUCAUCGUUACACAUUCAAUGGAAAAGUUCCGGUAAGGUAACCGAUCUUAUAAAUAUGU
This 697-nucleotide unclassified non-coding RNA is filed under the name Diuraphis noxia (Russian wheat aphid). RNAcentral's name for it is "uncharacterized LOC107166266, transcript variant X3". Lineage: Eukaryota; Metazoa; Arthropoda; Insecta; Hemiptera; Aphididae. The record is from RNAcentral.